Molecule: ribosomal RNA, 351 nt
Filed under: uncultured bacterium
Lineage: Bacteria
Description: partial 16S ribosomal RNA
Rfam family: Bacterial small subunit ribosomal RNA
Source: RNAcentral
CCUACGGGUGGCAGCAGUAGGGAAUAUUGCUCAAUGGGGGAAACCCUGAAGCAGCAACGCCGCGUGGAGGAUGAAGGUUUUCGGAUUGUAAACUUCUUUUUUUAGAGAAGAUAAUGACGGUAUCUAACGAAUAAGCACCGGCGAACGUCGUGCCCGCACCCGCGGUAAUACGGAGGGUGCAAGCGUUACUCGGAAUCACUGGGCGUAAAGCGCGCGUAUGCGGGAUAGCAAGUCAGAUGUUAAAUACUAUGGCUUAACCAUAGAACUGAAUUUGAAACUGUUAUUCUAGAGUAUAGGUGAGGUAGGUGGAAUUCGUGGGGUAGCGGUGAAAUCCGUAGAGAUCAAGAGGAA